RNAcentral lists this signal recognition particle RNA (267 nucleotides) under Oscillospiraceae bacterium. Its description in RNAcentral is "signal recognition particle sRNA large type". It matches the Rfam family "Bacterial large signal recognition particle RNA". From Rfam's summary of the family: The signal recognition particle (SRP) is a universally conserved ribonucleoprotein involved in the co-translational targeting of proteins to membranes. Archaeal SRP consists of a 7S RNA and homologues of the eukaryotic SRP19 and SRP54 proteins. Lineage: Bacteria; Bacillati; Bacillota; Clostridia; Eubacteriales; Oscillospiraceae. The record is from RNAcentral.
CCGCACUAGCCGGGGAGCCAGCGGUGCCCUGUCGCCUGCAACCCGCUACAGCAGGGGUGAAUCCCGACCCCAGGGACGCUGAUGUGCCGCCAGCCCCGGAUAAGCAGCGAUGAGGAAUCGGUCUUUGCGCAACGAGGCCCCGUGAACCAUGUCAGGCGGGGAACCGAGCAGCAUUAAGCGGGAUACCGCGUGUGCCGUGAAGGCGCCGUUUCCGAGCCGGCUGUCCGAACAGCGGGUAUAUCCGCGCGCUCGAAGGCCGGUGUGCGG